Long non-coding RNA from Chrysemys picta bellii (western painted turtle), 2170 nucleotides. NCBI's taxonomy places the organism in Eukaryota, Metazoa, Chordata, Testudines, Emydidae. The record is from Ensembl.
UGAAAUAAACGGAUCGCCCCUCCUGGGGCUCCUUGCUUGGCUAGCUGUGUCCGCCUCUCCUUCGUCCUCAGCUGGAACGGACAGAAAUUUCUAGGACAAGUUUUUCCUUUCUUGUCUCAGUUCCUCUCCUGUGAGCUGCGGGGAAGGGCGGAGAUGAAGGACUCAUGAGAUGUAAUCUAUCUGGCUGGCGCGGACAAGGGUGUAAAACCCCAACAAACCUGUAAUCCCCCUUUCUAGGUGGGGUGCGAGGACACGUAUAGAAACCCCCCCGAUCUCAGUGCCAGGGGGGCAGGCAGGGGCUGGGGAUGCUCGUGCUGAGAGCAAUGGAGAGGGCGGCAAUGGAAGGAACUACGCUGUUGUCAGCAGCUGCUGUCAGAGCUCCGGGGCGGAUCUGUUUCCGGUGCUGGUCCCGCUGCUGCCCGGGACUCGGCUCUCGGACCCACCCACCGAGGCUGAUCACAAUGGUGCCUUCUGGUCUCACAGUCUAUGAAUCUUUGACAGCAUGGAUUCCCGCUCGUCCAGAGAAACUGCCGAAGAAGAUGGAGGCAGAGCUGAGAAUCUGCUGCUGAUCGGAACCGGCUUUGCUUUGAGGCCAUGUGGACCCACACUUGAACCGCUUCAGUUGAACUGCUGCAAGCGUGUGUGUGGACACUCUUAUUUCAGUUUAGCUUAAACCUCUUCCUAGAGGACUUGGAGCUAAAUCGCAAUCAGUCUGGUUAAAACGGGAACACACGCACGUUCACUGGCUGAGCACCAUGCCUUUAAACUAAACCGGUGCGUAACUGAAUAUACAUGGAUCCUGAAUCGCAGAGAGCUGCAGCCAGUGAGAUAGAGCUGCUCGGAGUCCAGCAUGCCCCCCAGGGACUCCAAGAGAGAGGAGAGAUGGAGGAGCGCUUUGACUGCAGUGGAGGUGCGGAGAGAGGCCCUGGGUCUAACCACACGCUCAGGAAAUGGGCUUCCCGUCAAGUCCUAGUCCCAGCUGUCGUCCUCGCUGCAGUCACAGUUUUUAUGUUGAUCACCAUCAUCACUAUCGCUGCUUUAGCAGAACUGUUAAGAGGUAAUUGCAUGGCCCAGCCAGUCUCUGCUCCCCCUGGAGCUGUCGCAGCCACAGAAUCUCUCCUCCCCGUCCCCUUUGGCUUCGGCAAUCAGGCGAGAAAGGAGUUUGUCUAAAGGCGUAUGCAGCCCCUGUUACCUUAGUAGCUGGAGAUCUGUGAGGCACAGAGGGAUUGUUAUCUCUGUUUUCUGGAUGGGGAAACCGAGGCCCAGAGAGAUCAAGUGGGGGUGUUUUCAAGGUGCUAAAACUUCCUACACCUCAGAGCUUCCCAGCUCCCCAGACACAUAUUGCAUGUCUAGAGUAAAGUGCACAUGGAACUGUAGGAUCAGCAGUGCUAAAAGGGCACAUUAUUGACAGACCUUAUUGUUGACUUCUAUACCNNNNNNNNNNCGGGGAUUUGGAGCCCAAAAAGCCGGACAUGUCUGGGAAAAUCCGGACGUAUGGUAACCCUAGCUCCCCUUAAGGGGAGGGGAAGGAGUUGAGUGUCCAGUCUCAGACUGUGGGGUGGGGGUGGGUGCAGCUGGAGUUGGCAGGCUCAGUGACUGGCUGUGGAGGGGGAAGUCUGAUUCCUCCAGGCAGAGGGCAAAGGCCGAGCAUGGGGCAGAGUAAAGGUGAGCGUGAGACAUGUUCCCAUCCCUCACCCCUCUGGGCAACUGUGAGCUAAGAGCCAGUCUGGGUAGCAGCUUUGUGAGAGUCUGUGGGAGGAGCAAUGGGAGAGAUUGAAUAAGUAUUGGGCCAUCCUGGUCGGGCGAAUGUGGGGUCAUUUGGGACGGGGCGAGUUUAUCAUUGUAUUUAUCUGACUGGGGGGAAGUGCAGCAGCCUGGGAAUCACAGUAGAUAUUUGCUGACAGCGGCUCAGGCACGGCUACGGUUACUGAGUCUGCUCCCCAGAAGCACUCAUGGCUUUGUCUCUUUCAGGCCCUGGGUCUAACCACACGCUCAGGAAAUGUGCUUCCCGUCAAGUCGUAGUCCCAGCUGUCGUCCUAGCUGCAGUCACAGUUUUUAUGUUGAUCACCAUCAUCACUAUCGCUGCUUUAGCAGAACUUUUAAGAGGUAAGUGCAUGGCCCAGCCAGUCUCUGCUCCCCCUGGAGCUGUUGCAGCCACAGAAUCUCUCCU